UCGACGGCAGCACGGGAGCAAUCCUGGUGGCGAGUGGCGAACGGGUGAGUAAUGUAUCGGAACGUACCUUUCAGUGGGGGAUAACGUAGCGAAAGUUACGCUAAUACCGCAUAUUCUGUGAGCAGGAAAGCAGGGGAUCGCAAGACCUUGCGCUGAUUGAGCGGCCGAUAUCAGAUUAGCUAGUUGGUGAGGUAAAGGCUCACCAAGGCGACGAUCUGUAGCGGGUCUGAGAGGAUGAUCCGCCACACUGGAACUGAGACACGGUCCAGACUCCUACGGGAGGCAGCAGUGGGGAAUUUUGGACAAUGGGGGCAACCCUGAUCCAGCCAUGCCGCGUGAGUGAAGAAGGCCUUCGGGUUGUAAAGCUCUUUCAGCCGGGAAGAAAACGCAUGGGUUAAUACCCUGUGUGGAUGACGGUACCGGAAUAAGAAGCACCGGCUAACUACGUGCCAGCAGCCGCGGUAAUACGUAGGGUGCGAGCGUUAAUCGGAAUUACUGGGCGUAAAGCGUGCGCAGGCGGUUUUGUAAGUCUGUCGUGAAAUCCCCGGGCUCAACCUGGGAAUUGCGAUGGAGACUGCAAGGCUAGAGUUUGGCAGAGGGGGGUAGAAUUCCACGUGUAGCAGUGAAAUGCGUAGAGAUGUGGAGGAACACCGAUGGCGAAGGCAGCCCCCUGGGCCAAUACUGACGCUCAUGCACGAAAGCGUGGGUAGCAAACAGGAUUAGAUACCCUGGUAGUCCACGCCCUAAACGAUGUCAACUAGGUGUUGGGUGGGUAAAACCAUUUAGUACCGGAGCUAACGCGUGAAGUUGACCGCCU
RNAcentral lists this ribosomal RNA (817 nucleotides) under uncultured bacterium. RNAcentral's name for it is "bacterial SSU rRNA". It matches the Rfam family "Bacterial small subunit ribosomal RNA", at positions 62 to 874 of the family's 1533-position model. The record is from RNAcentral.